GAGAUUCCAUGGUAAACAUGGCACACAUGGUCCUUCCCCCACAAUGAGGUUUACAGCCAAGUUGGAGAGAAAAGUGGUUUUGAACUGGAUUAGAGAUGUCAAUCUUGUUUUCAGAAGCCUUGAGGGCUAUCAGUUGAGAACUACAGCCCUGGAAGCGCCCAUCAGAGAGGUUCUGUCAGACGGCUCUGACACAGUAUUCCAGCUCACAGCUUACACAAAGGUCAAAGAAGAAACCACAUGGGAACCAGAAAAUUAUUUGAGAUGAAAAAAAAUGGAAGCAUGACAUGCCAAAGUUAUCAUACGCAGCAAGAGUGCUCAUAGGGAAAAUUAUACCUGUAAGUUUCUACAUUUUAAAAGGAGAAAGAAUAGCCGGGCAUGGCA
Molecule: long non-coding RNA, 381 nt
Filed under: Homo sapiens (human)
Lineage: Eukaryota; Metazoa; Chordata; Mammalia; Primates; Hominidae
Description: HSALNT0359154
Source: RNAcentral